UACGGAGGGUGCGAGCGUUGUCCGGAAUCACUGGGCGUAAAGGGCGCGUAGGCGGGUUGCUAAGUUAGAGGUGAAAGCCCAGGGCUUAACCCUGGAAUUGCCUUUAAGACUGCAUCGCUAGAAUCGUGGAGAGGUGAGUGGAAUUCCGAGUGUAGAGGUGAAAUUCGUAGAUAUUCGGAAGAACACCAGUGGCGAAGGCGACUCACUGGACACGUAUUGACGCUGAGGUGCGAAAGCGUGGGGAGCAAACAGG
Molecule: ribosomal RNA, 253 nt
Filed under: uncultured bacterium
Lineage: Bacteria
Description: partial 16S ribosomal RNA
Rfam family: Bacterial small subunit ribosomal RNA
Source: RNAcentral